Molecule: long non-coding RNA, 202 nt
Filed under: Mytilus galloprovincialis (Mediterranean mussel)
Lineage: Eukaryota; Metazoa; Mollusca; Bivalvia; Mytilida; Mytilidae
Source: RNAcentral
UUUUUUUAACUUAAAUAAGGCCGUUAGUUUUCUCGUUUGAAUUGUUUUACAUUGUCUUAUCGGGGCCUUUUAUAGCUGACUAUGCGGUAUGGGCUUUGAUCAUUGUUGAAGGCCGUACGGUGACCUAUAGUUGUUAAUGUCUGUGUCAUUUUGGUCUUUUGUGGAUAGUUGUCUCAUUGGCAAUCAUACCACAUCUUCUUUU